UACGAAGGGGGCUAGCGUUGCUCGGAAUCACUGGGCGUAAAGCGCACGUAGGCGGAUCUUUAAGUCAGGGGUGAAAUCCCAAGGCUCAGCCUUGGAACUGCCUUUGAUACUGGGGAUCUCGAGUCCGGAAGAGGUGAGUGGAACUGCGAGUGUAGAGGUGAAAUUCGUAGAUAUUCGCAAGAACACCAGUGGCGAAGGCGGCUCACUGGUCCGGUACUGACGCUGAGGUGCGAAAGCGUGGGGAGCAAACAGG
Molecule: ribosomal RNA, 253 nt
Filed under: uncultured bacterium
Lineage: Bacteria
Description: partial 16S ribosomal RNA
Rfam family: Bacterial small subunit ribosomal RNA
Source: RNAcentral